This 357-nucleotide long non-coding RNA is filed under the name Salvia miltiorrhiza (redroot sage). RNAcentral describes it as "long non-coding RNA (SMIL_LNC010200)". The record is from RNAcentral. Lineage: Eukaryota; Viridiplantae; Streptophyta; Magnoliopsida; Lamiales; Lamiaceae.
CCGGCGACCAUAGCAGCAGCUUCAAUUUGGAAUUUGAAGAGACGAAUUCUAUAUUGCGAUUUGGUCUGAUUUUGGUUUCCGUCUAAUUUGCGAUUUGGUCUGAUUUUGAUUUUUAGUUUUGGCUAUGCGAUUUGAUAGAGGGGCGAAGGGUGACGGUCGGCGUCGGCGUCGACGUCGCCGUCGCCGGCGUCGGCGUCGGCGUCGCCGGCGUCGGCGUCGCGUCGUCGUGGGCCAGAAAAUGGUUCAAACACAGUGAGAAGAAAAAAGUGGACCAAACUUAAUUAACUCUUUGACUAUGGUGGAUCACUUAAUUAAAACAUAACAAUCUUUUUCUUAGUCUCCGUGCCGAAAAGAACG